AUUGAACGCUGGCGGCAGGCCUAACACAUGCAAGUCGAGCGGAUGAAGGGAGCUUGCUCCUGGUUUCAGCGGCGGACGGGUGUGGAAUGCCUAGGAAUCUGCCUUGUUGUGUGGUAUAACGUCCGGAGACGGGCGCUAAUACCGCACACGUCCUGAGGGAGAUAGUUGGGGAUCUUCGGACCUCACGCGAUCAGAUGAGCCUAGGUCGGAUUAGCUAGUUGGUGGGGUAAAGGCCUACCAAGGCGACGAUCCGUAACUGGUCUGAGAGGAUGAUCAGUCACACUGGACCUGCGACACGGUCCAGACUCCUACGGGCGGCAGCAGUGGGGCAUAUUGGACAGUGGGCGAAAGCCUGAUCCAGCCAUGCCGCGUGUGUGAAGAAGGUCUUCGGAUUGUAAAGCACUUUCAGUUGGGAGGAAGGGCAGUAAGUUAAUACCUUGCUGUUUUGACGUUACCAACAGAAUACGCACCGGCUAACUUCGUG
This 484-nucleotide ribosomal RNA is filed under the name uncultured bacterium. Its description in RNAcentral is "partial 16S ribosomal RNA". It matches the Rfam family "Bacterial small subunit ribosomal RNA", at positions 30 to 507 of the family's 1533-position model. The record is from RNAcentral.